Molecule: non-coding RNA, 307 nt
Organism: Pelobates cultripes (western spadefoot toad)
Lineage: Eukaryota; Metazoa; Chordata; Amphibia; Anura; Pelobatidae
Source: the annotation of a GenBank genome assembly
CUACAAACGGCUCUAAUUUUGUUUGUAAUUUUUUGAUGGUAAUAUCUAAUUCUUGUAGAUCUUCCUUUCUUUGUAUUAUAAUUAUGUUAAUCAUCGUAAUGGAGAAAGAUUCAAGAGCAUUUGUCCAAAUUCCCAUAAAUUUGGUAUUAUCCAAGUCAAAAGUGGGAAAUUUGGUGAAUCUCAACCCUCUAGGUGUAAUUUUGUCUUUGAGGUAUUUUUCCAAAGUGAAAAUCUCCCAUUUUAUUUUUAUUUCCCUACUUAGUAGUUUUUCCAGCUGAUGAAUCAUAUCAUCUAGGUUAUCACUAAU